This 1053-nucleotide unclassified non-coding RNA is filed under the name Hevea brasiliensis (rubber tree). The record is from RNAcentral. Lineage: Eukaryota; Viridiplantae; Streptophyta; Magnoliopsida; Malpighiales; Euphorbiaceae.
AUGCUAACAGAAAAGGGAAUCCAAAUUCAUUAUAUAUAAGGGGCUAUCUCAGCAGCAAGGGAAGAAAUAUAUUUUGUUGAAAAUUACAGCUACAAGCUGGGGUUAGCUUUGCUAGCAAGGGAAUUGAUUUCCUGGGGGUUGUUUAACAAUUUUCUUUGUUUGCUUGUUCCUGUUGAAUUUAACUGUAACAAUAUUUUUUCUGUUGUUUAACAACCUCAACUGCUCUGUUAGUUACCAAAUUUUGUUAAUCAUAUUUUUGUGUGAUCAUUCACAAAACCCUUAAUUCUACUACCAGCUAAGCAGCAAAGAUCCUUUCGAACCAACUUUACUUUUCCUCAGACCAUAUUUUCAAUUAACUGAAUUGUUAAAAUUCUCCAAUUUGUUAUAGGAUACUCCAAAAUAGUCCUUUUAUUCCAUGAUAACUGGUUGGUGCACUUUUCUUCAAACAAUUACCCAAGAAAGAUAUUCUUCAUGAAAUUUCCAUAGCACUUCUCCAUUCCGUUUGGUAUAUUAUAUGAUUGACAAUUUCAACCCACAUCUCCAUGAAAACUUUCAUGCUCUCUACAUUGCUAUGAUUAUAACAAACCAAUGCUUUGCAUAAUAAAUACCUACCAAAAAUAAAGAACCAAGAUUUGCAAUUUAUGAUACAAUAUUUCAAUAACUAAAGAUCAGUACACAGUUCCUUCAAGAUGGAAUAAUCAUUAUGUUACUAGGAAUCCAGAAAUUGAGAAUUUUUAGAACAGCAAUACCAUGCCUGAGAAAUAGUAAAAGUAAGCAAGAAACAACAAAAUGCAAACAUCCUAUUAGUAAGUUUUUAAGCAUCUUUCCUGAAUUGCCUUAGACAAAAUCCAUCUAAAUCCAACAAAUAUAAUAUAUUCGUUCUGGGUUCCACAAAACCUUGCUGCAAGAUUACUCUUGCAAAACUUUGCUGUUUGAUUACCAAGGCUUCAACAUUGUUCUCUGAUACCUGAACAAAAUUGUCACAAAUAACAAAAAAAACUCCGCCCAUACGAACUUAGCAAAACAUGACUAGUCCUAAGGCCAGAUAAAGGA